Molecule: long non-coding RNA, 1468 nt
Filed under: Vulpes vulpes (red fox)
Lineage: Eukaryota; Metazoa; Chordata; Mammalia; Carnivora; Canidae
Description: lncRNA (ENSVVUG00000016465.1)
Source: RNAcentral
AUGAAUUCUGGAAAUGACUGUCCCUGGGUCAUUCCCAGAACUACCCAGUCAGUUCUUCUCCACUGGGCUCAAUCCAGCAGGUACAUCAAAGUGGACUUGAACGGGCAAAGAUUUCAUCUGACUUCUACGGCUUUCAAGCAACUACAUAACAGAAGGCUGCUGCACAUCAAGCCAGCAAAUAAUAAGCUCAAUAAGGCAAUGAUCCUGAUGGAGCCCGUCAGCCACCUCUGGGAGUGUGAGGAAACUGAGAUCCAGACAGGGCAGUGAUGUGCCACAUUCCGCACCAUUUCUGGAAUGGUGUGCCAUUCUGUGCCAAUGCUGAACUCUGGAGGAGGAGAGAGACAACAGAGGACACCUGACAGCGUAUGGGAAUAAGAGUGGAGACCUUACUCCGGACUCUGGUCUGGCUUGGAAGCAUUCGAGAGGGGCUAGAAGUCCCUAAUUUUGUAGGUGGGAGAGGAACAGAGAAAUACUGUUUUGUUACUAUUGUCAUUUCUGUUUUGUAGACUCAGUUGAAUACCACUAGGACGGGUCACACGAUUUUGAAUGUGUUAACACCUCGGCCAUGGAGCAGCCAUCUGGUAGGAAAGCAUUUACCCAGGCAAAGUGCUCUGGUGAUUUAGAUGAGUCAGUGACUGGGUGACAACGGCCAGAAGUCAGAAAAUGGGGAGAAGAGGCACCAUGUGGCAGAGAUUAUGCUAGAUCAGCAUUCAAACACCUGAGUGCAAGUUCCUGCCCUAUUGGUGGGCAGAUUACUUAUUACUUAUUGUCUGUGAUACUCGAGAGACAUCAGUGAAACAGGAUAAUGUCCCCAAUGCCACAGCAACAGACCCCCUCAUCAAGGCACAACCCCAUAGUUUGUAAGCUGCUGCUGCAAUCCUUUCUGCCCCUGACUUUAUAAAUGAUCCCCUCUAAAGAAAAAAUGUAAAUUCAUGGUGAGUUUUGUAAGCCUCAAUUGUUUCACCUGUGAAAUAGAAUCAGUAACCCCUACCUCCUACGUCUACUACAUGUUUAUGAGAUAAUGGCUGUAAAUGUAUUUCACAAACUGUAAAGUGUUGCACGUGUAUAAAUGACCACCAUUAGGUUAAACCACCUGAUAUUCAGUCAUUUUAGAACUACUACAAAACAGAAAUUUCACAUGGUUCGACCUAAAACUAUCAUUUUUUUGUGAUUAUCAACAUUAGGCUGACAAAUCGCAUUUGUGGAGAUUUCAGAAAAAGGUAGGUUUAAAAAUGGACUUUUGGGGAUCCCUGGGUGGCUCAGUGGUUUAGCGCCUGCCUUUGGCCCAGGGCGUGAUCCUGGAGCCCCGGGAUCGAGUCCCAUGUCGGGCUCCCUGCAUGGAGCCUGCUUCUCCCUCUGCCUGUGUCUCUGCCUCUCUCUCUCUCUCUCUCUCUCUCUCUCUCUCUGUGUGUGUGAUCCUCAUGAAUAGAUAAAUAAAAUCUUUAAGAGAAAUAAAUAAAAAUGGACU